UACGGAGGGUGCAAGCGUUGUCCGGAUUUAUUGGGUUUAAAGGGUGCGUAGGCGGCCCGUUAAGUCAGUGGUGAAAGCCUCCAGCUCAACUGGAGAACUGCCAUUGAUACUGGCGGGCUUGAGUACAGACGAGGUAGGUGGAAUUGAUUGUGUAGCGGUGAAAUGCAUAGAUACAAUCAAGAACACCGCUUGCGUAGGCAGCUUACUAGGCUGUAACUGACGCUGAGGCACGAAAGCGUGGGGAGCGAACAGG
RNAcentral lists this ribosomal RNA (253 nucleotides) under uncultured bacterium. RNAcentral's name for it is "partial 16S ribosomal RNA". It matches the Rfam family "Bacterial small subunit ribosomal RNA", at positions 524 to 776 of the family's 1533-position model. The record is from RNAcentral.